AUAUUGGUCAAUGGACGCAAGUCUGAACCAGCCAUGCCGCGUGGAGGAUGAAGGCCUUCUGGGUUGUAAACUUCUUUUAUUGGGGAAGAAAAGCACGGUUUCUACUGUGUCCGACGGUACCCAAGGAAUAAGCACCGGCUAACUCCGUGCCAGCAGCCGCGGUAAGACGGAGGGGGCUAGCGUUGUUCGGAAUUACUGGGCGUAAAGCGCACGUAGGCGGCCUUUCAAGUCAGAUGUGAAAGCCCCGGGCUUAACCCGGGAAUAGCAUUUGAUACUGUUGGGCUUGAGGCCGGGAGAGGAUAGCGGAAUUCCCAGUGUAGAGGUGAAAUUCGUAGAUAUUGGGAAGAACACCAGUGGCGAAGGCGGCUAUCUGGACCGGUACUGACGCUGAGGUGCGAAAGCGUGGGGAGCAAACAGG
This 418-nucleotide ribosomal RNA is filed under the name uncultured bacterium. RNAcentral describes it as "bacterial SSU rRNA". It matches the Rfam family "Bacterial small subunit ribosomal RNA", at positions 361 to 776 of the family's 1533-position model. The record is from RNAcentral.